GUGUAGUAUGAAAGGAGAGAUACUUAGCACUCUCCUAAACAAGGAUGGAAACACACAUACCGGUUAAGGCACAUCUGGGCUUGCCCAGAAAUCUUAAACACCAUUUUCU
RNAcentral lists this non-coding RNA (109 nucleotides) under Nilaparvata lugens (brown planthopper). The record is from RNAcentral. Lineage: Eukaryota; Metazoa; Arthropoda; Insecta; Hemiptera; Delphacidae.